This 1238-nucleotide ribosomal RNA is filed under the name Crepidostomum sp. 2 VS-2018. RNAcentral's name for it is "LSU rRNA". It matches the Rfam family "Eukaryotic large subunit ribosomal RNA", at positions 79 to 919 of the family's 3401-position model. Lineage: Eukaryota; Metazoa; Platyhelminthes; Trematoda; Plagiorchiida; Allocreadiidae. The record is from RNAcentral.
UUUAGUAACGGCGAGUGAACAGGGAUGAGCCCAGCACCGAAGCCUGUGGCCAUUUGGUUACUAGGCAAUGUGGUGUUUAGGUCGUUCCGCAGAGACACUGCUCCUCUCUAAGUCCAUCAAUGAGUACGGUUGUACUGACAUGGCCCACGGAGGGUGAAAGGCCCGUAAGAGAGGAGUUUUGGUGUGACAGUGUCUCUCUGGAUUGACCUUGGAGUCGGGUUGUUUGGGAAUGCAGCCCUAAGCGGGUGGUAAACUCCAUCCAAGGCUAAAUACAAGCACGAGUCCGAUAGCGAACAAGUACCGUGAGGGAAAGUUGAAAAGUACUUUGAAGAGAGAGUAAACAGUGCGUGAAACCGCUUAGAGGUAAACGGGUGGAGUUGAACUGCAAUCUCUGAGAAUUCAGCUGGGGAAUUUUGCUUGAGCUUGGUCAAUUGGGCAGGGCCUCGGGGUAUGCUUAGUUGCAUGUUCUGAUCUUCGGGUCGGAAUGCGCGUUGCUCUUAUCAAGGGUUGCGCGCCCUGGGUGUCCGGCUGGCUCAUUCGCCAGUGCACUUUCUCAGAGUGAUCACCACGACCGGCGCUGCUGCUUGGCUGUUUUAGUUAAACCGCACAUUCAUCGUCCUUGUGGCGUUGGGUGGACGACACGGCAGGUAACUGGGGGCUCGCUUCGGCUUGCUUCUCGGUGUAUGCUGGCUCUAACGGUUCUGUGCAGUGUGUCGGAGACGGCGGCUUGUGGUGUGUGCAUGCGUGCCUAUUUGUUGGCAUAUUCUGGUUUGGUGGCUGUGUGCUUGUUCAAGCAGGCCCAGUUAUAGCCGGGGUGUGUCAGUGGGUGGUUGCGUGUGUGGCACUUUUCAGGGCCAACAGUCUGUGGUGUUGUGGUAGACUAUCCACCUGACCCGUCUUGAAACACGGACCAAGGAGAGUAACAUGUGCGCGAGUCAUUGGGCGUAACGAAACCCAUAGGCGCAGUGAAAGUAAAGGUCUGGCUUGUCCAGUCUAAGGUGAGAUCCUGUCGUUGUUCAUGCGCGGUACCACCAAGCUUGGAGCGAUAGGCGCAUCACCGGCCCGUCCCAUGACGUGGACAUAGUCUUCGGAUUGUGCGCCGUCGGGGCGGGGCAUGAGCGUACAUGUUGAGACCCGAAAGAUGGUGAACUAUGCUUGCGCAGGUUGAAGCCAGAGGAAACUCUGGUGGAGGACCGCAGCGAUUCUGACGUGCAAAUCGAUCGUCAAACGUGAGUAUA